CCGAUGGCGACCGGCGCACGGGUGAGUAACACGUAUCCAACCUGCCGAUAACUCGGGGAUAGCCUUUCGAAAGAAAGAUUAAUAUCCGAUGGUAUAUUUUCUCCGCAUGGUGAGAAUAUUAAAGAAUUUCGGUUAUCGAUGGGGAUGCGUUCCAUUAGUUUGUUGGCGGGGUAACGGCCCACCAAGACCACGAUGGAUAGGGGUUCUGAGAGGAAGGUCCCCCACAUUGGAACUGAGACACGGUCCAA
This 248-nucleotide ribosomal RNA is filed under the name uncultured bacterium. Its description in RNAcentral is "partial 16S ribosomal RNA". It matches the Rfam family "Bacterial small subunit ribosomal RNA", at positions 85 to 334 of the family's 1533-position model. The record is from RNAcentral.